AUUCUACAAGUAAGUUUAGGAUUCUACAAGUGGUGAGGAAUAUAUAAUCACUUCGAGAUUUCAUUUUGGAUUUAUUGAUUCUAUGUAUAUUUGGUUUUAUGACUGUAAAAUAUCUGGCUUUGGAUUUAUUGAUUCUAUGUAUGUAUCAUAUCGAUAUGGUAAUCCAAACAUUUAUACUAGUAACAAUCAAAGUGGUUAUUCUUUUUCUAUUGAUGCAAGAGAUGAAGAGUCAGCUGUUUUCACCCUCCAUUACCAAGCGAACCAGCCAAAAAACUAGGUUUUGGGAGGGGCAACAUUAAACCAUAAUAGCUUAGGCACAAGCAAAUUGGAUCCAUGUUGGUCUUCAGCCCACCUUCUGAUAGCAGCCACAGAACUUUGAGUUGAGAACAUGGAAGCAAGAUCAAAGAGUUGAAGAAGAAAUAUGUUACAAGAAAUGUGAUCAAUAUAAGAAGAAAUGCUCCCAAUUUUAAGGUUUUCAUUCUCUCUCUCUAGCCAAUCUCUUUAUGUAGACAGUGUAUUAUAGUGCUUGAUAUGAAGCAUAUUUCAAGUUUUAGCUAUAUAUAGAUCUGAUGGUGGAAAAAAUACAUUGGAGACUUCAAAUAUUUUAAGUUAGUGUUUCUACAAGUCAGGAUAGCAGCCAUAGACUAUUGUGUUAAAUAAUAACUAAAAGCCCCAUUAUUAGUUUAUGAGUUGCACUAGAGAGUUUUACGUGUACUUGACAUCACAAUUUCCAUAACCAUUAAAACACUCGGCAGCAAAACAGAGCUAGCAGCAGCAAGGCAGAAUCAACAGUAGCAAGGCAAAGACACACUCCCACACAACACCUGGGUAGCUAUUCAUAGCAGCUAAACUAAAGCAAGCACAACACAAACUAGAAUUUAUAGACAUUAGCAGCAGGCAAACACGGCACCUGGAUAGAUUUACACAGCAGAUCACAUGACACUCCAGUAGAAUGUGUAGACAGACCACCAGAGUUUAGCCUAACCAGUUCCAUAUUUGAGGUACCAACACAAAAACAGUAAACAGCUCCAUUCUACAUAAAGAAAUACAACAAUAUCUAAUGCUAUCAACAUGUCCCUAGAACUAAUGGAGAAAUACCUUCUGUUGAUGAAGCAACUUUAGACCAUCAAAGAUUAUUGGACAGGUAUUCAGCUAUUGUUUUAGGAUUGGACAAAAGCUCCCCUUCCCCUCGUCCAGAGAAGAAAAUAUAUAUAUGCAUCUUUGUCUCUUUUGCCUUCCUUUAUUUGUUUAUUUAUUUAUUUUAUUAUUAUUAUUUAUUUUUUUUUGCAACUGUGGGAUUUUUAUUUCAUAUAUAUAGUUUUUGAUGUUGGAGAUGUCUGUUGGAGAGAUUUUUAUUUUUGCAGGUAAGAAAUUUCUUGGAAAGAUGCAAAAUGUGGUCAAAGACAAAAAUUGAAUAAUUUGUGUGUGAAGCCAAAAUCAACAAACUUUGAUCCAUAAGUCGGAAGGAAAGUUUGGACAAGGUGGCCUGAAGACAAUAACUUCUAUGAGGCGGUUAUAACUGACUACAAUCCUGUUGAGGGCCGGCAUGCUUUGGUUUAUGAUAUUAGUACAGCAGAUGAAACAUGGGAAUGGGUCAAUCUCAAAGAGGUAAAAGAUGGCCCUUUCUCUGAAUUUACUUGCAUGGCCUACAUUCCUCCUGGUUAAUCUUUUCUUGCAUGAUCAUAAACAUCCAAGAAAUUCUGAUUACAAUAUAUUAAUGCUUGAAAAUUGAGGAACAAAAACGACUGUAUCUACUCUAGUAUCUAUGCAUCUUGUUCUUGUGCCUUUGUGUGGAUGCUAGCUUCAUGUUUGUUAUCUGGCUCUCUCUUUGCUGAAUUGUUAAUUGGUUACUUUAUUGACAUCAUUUUUCAUAUUUUCAUUGUUACCACCAAGUGAUAAUCUGGUUGAACAACAGAAUAUAGUAGUGUGAAUUGUAGCUUACAUAUUCUUCAUGUAGAAA
Molecule: non-coding RNA, 1960 nt
Organism: Camellia sinensis
Lineage: Eukaryota; Viridiplantae; Streptophyta; Magnoliopsida; Ericales; Theaceae
Source: RefSeq, a predicted model, not a curated record